GGAGGAGAGAUGUAGAAUCACUAGUCCUGGUUCAACCAGUGCAUUACAAUCACCAUUACAGGUCCAUUACAGGUCCAUUACAAUCACCAUUACAGGUCCAUUACAAUCACCAUUACAGGUCCAUUACAAUCACCAUUACAAUCACCUUUACAGGUCCAUUACAAUCACCAUUACAAUCACCAUUACAGGUCCAUUACAAUCACCAUUACAGGCCCAUUACAAUCACCAUUACAGGUCCCUUACAAUCACCAUUACAGGUCCAUUACAAUCACCAUUACAGGUCCAUUACAAUCACCAUUACAAUCACCAUUACAGGUCCAUUACAAUCACCAUUACAAUCACCAUUACAGGUCCAUUACAAUCACCAUUACAGGUCCCUUACAAUCACAAUUACAGGUCCAUUACAAUCACCAUUACAGGUCCAUUACAAUCACCAUUACAGGUCCAUUACAAUCACCAUUACAGGUCCAUUACAAUCACCAUUACAAUCACCAUUACAGGUCCAUUACAAUCACCAUUACAAUCACCAUUACAGGUCCAUUACAAUCACCAUUACAGGUCCAUUACAAUCACCAUUACAGGUCCAUUACAAUCACCAUUACAAUCACCAUUACAGGUCCAUUACAAUCACCAUUACAGGUCCAUUACAAUCACCAUUACAGGUCCAUUACAAUCACCAUUACAGGUCCCUUACAAUCACCAUUACAGGUCCAUUACAAUCACCAUUACAAUCACCAUUACAGGUCCAUUACAAUCACCAUUACAAUCACCAUUACAGGUCCAUUACAAUCACCAUUACAGGUCCAUUACAAUCACCAUUACAGGUCCAUUACAAUCCCCAUUACAGGUCCAUUACAAUCACCAUUACAGGUCCAUUACAAUCACCAUUACAGGUCCCUUACAAUCACCAUUACAGGUCCAUUACAAUCACCAUUACAGGUCCCUUACAAUCACCAUUACAGGUCCAUUACAAUCACCAUUACAGGUCCAUUACAAUCACCAUUACAGGUCCAUUACAAUCACCAUUACAAUCACCAUUACAGGUCCAUUACAAUCACCAUUACAAUCACCAUUACAGGUCCAUUACAAUCACCAUUACAGGCCCAUUACAAUCACCAUUACAGGUCCCUUACAAUCACCAUUACAGGUCCAUUACAAUCACCAUUACAGGUCCAUUACAAUCACCUUUACAGGCUAUUUUGUUAAAGAAAACUAUUUUUGUGUGUUUAUGUAUUCGUUUUCCAGUAUUCAUCCACUCCCUCUACUAAUCCCUAAUGCUCUCUGAGGUAACUGAAUAGUGAUUUCCAUCUGGUAUUUAUGCAUCCGUGUGUGUUUGUGUUUGUCCAGUUAUGACCCAAAGAGCUACAAAUGGUUGAAUGUGACUUCCUUUUCCCAGUUCUCACAACCCCCCACUACACUUCUCUUGCACAUCAUCCCAACCUCGAUUCCUAAAAGGGCCUUCAUGUGUCCCUCGGUUUCCACUCCAGCCAAUUUCCCCCGGCCUAAUUGGUUCAAUGAGUUACUUCCCCUUCGUCUGCAUUGGUGCCGUUGUUAAACCCUCUAUGCAGAUUAUAGUGGUGAUGUAACUCUCUU
RNAcentral lists this long non-coding RNA (1593 nucleotides) under Oncorhynchus kisutch (coho salmon). RNAcentral's name for it is "lncRNA (ENSOKIG00005046710.1)". Lineage: Eukaryota; Metazoa; Chordata; Actinopteri; Salmoniformes; Salmonidae. The record is from RNAcentral.